ACUGCUUUGUCUGCCAUUAUGAAGAAUAUCUGUAGGGGGCAAAAGCAGUAGCAGAGAGUAGAAAGCCAUUGCAGUCAUUCAGCUGAGAGGUGAUGAUCUGAAUGAACUAGGCUGACAGC
This is a small nucleolar RNA of Lagenorhynchus albirostris (white-beaked dolphin), 119 nucleotides long. RefSeq annotates it as small nucleolar RNA SNORA17. Lineage: Eukaryota; Metazoa; Chordata; Mammalia; Artiodactyla; Delphinidae. The record is from RefSeq and is a predicted model, not a curated record. The transcript has a single exon.